CAACCUCCUAGAUGACCAAUCAUCACGCACUGUUCAAAUUGCAAGUACGCGUGCACUUGUGGAAGUUCAGCUAUAGCUAGCUACCACCUAUACAGCACAGUCCGGCGGCUUCGGAAUGAGUCACGUUUUCCUGUUGAUAUUGUACGUAGAUGAAACCAUCGAUGAAGAAGCCUAGGCCAGCUGAAAACAGAAAAGGCGAUAGUUACUUCAAGUUACCAACAUGCUUGCAGCUGGCUAUUGAGGGAACAAAAUUCGAAGAAACAAACUGAAAACGAUAAAAUUCUCAAGUACUGCAUGAAUGCUCAACCAGAGGUCCCUCGCGAUCAUGGCGGUUCAACUGAAAGAAACCACAGCUGCUGUUAGCGAUUCAUCACAUGGGCAAGAGAAUCAUCAGAAACUAAGUGAAAAAGCAGAUAACUAACAAGGAUUGCUACUGAACGUGAAAAGAAAGCAGAAACAGUGUCGCUUGUGAAGAACAUUUCUCAAUUGGAUUUUGCUAGUCUAGAGUGCGCGUGCCAAAUGGUUAUUAGCACGUAAUUGAAGGUGUCUCGAUUAGAUAAGGUAAUCGGAAAUAUAA
This is a long non-coding RNA of Corticium candelabrum, 577 nucleotides long. RefSeq lists it as uncharacterized. NCBI's taxonomy places the organism in Eukaryota, Metazoa, Porifera, Homoscleromorpha, Homosclerophorida, Plakinidae. The transcript has 3 exons. The record is from RefSeq and is a predicted model, not a curated record.